CUAACAAGGAUUCCCCUAGUAGCGGCGAGCGAAGAGGGAAGAGCCCAGCACCGAACCUCGCGCCCUCGGGUGUCGCGGAAUGUGGUGUUCAGGAGGACCGUGCGCGUCUGUCCGGUAUCGUCCAAGUCUCCAUGAAUGGGGCCAGCAACCCAGAGAGGGUGUCAGGCCCGUGGGACGAGCCGCGACCGUGUAUUGGGUCUCUCCUUAGAGUCGGGUUGCUUGAGAGUGCAGCCCUAAGCGGGAGGUAAACUCCUUCUAAGGCUAAAUACGGCCACGAGACCGAUAGCAAACAAGUACCGCGAGGAAAGUUGAAAAGAACUUUGAAGAGAGAGUUCAAGAGUGCGUGAAACCGUUCAGGGGGUUAAACGGGUGGGCCCUCGAAGGUCGAACGGUCCCCACUCCCGUCACCUGUAGUGCCGGCCCGUGCUGCUUUUCGAUUCCGCUACGGAACGAGGCUUGGUGCGGUUCGCCGGUCUACGGGGGCCGCUAGCUGGGGACCCAGUAGGACUCCGCAACCGGCUGGGAGGCCGUCAGAAGGGUUCUGUGAGGAAGCCCCCUCGUUGGGGUGGAUUCCGGGAUUCCGGGCGGUCCUCUCGGCCGUGAACCAAAAUUUCUCUCCUGCGGAGAGUAGAGUCGGGUCCCACCCGACCCGUCUUGAAACACGGACCAAGGAGUCUAACAUGUGCGCGAGUCGUCGGGUACUACUAAACCCGAAGGCGUAAUGAAAGUGAAAGGCGCCCUUGUUGGCGGCCGAGGGGAGAUCCCGUUCUGCUCCGGUAGCUCGGGCGCAUCCCCGGGCGUCGAAGCCGCGUUGCCGGCUAGACGAACCAAGAGCGUACACGUUGGGACCCGAAAGAUGGUGACCUAUGCCUGGCCAGGACGAAGCCAGGGGAAACCCUGGUGGAGGUCCGCAGCGAUUCUGACGUGCAAAUCGAUCGUCUGAGUUGGGUAUA
RNAcentral lists this ribosomal RNA (953 nucleotides) under Limnadia lenticularis. RNAcentral's name for it is "eukaryotic LSU rRNA". It matches the Rfam family "Eukaryotic large subunit ribosomal RNA", at positions 65 to 919 of the family's 3401-position model. Lineage: Eukaryota; Metazoa; Arthropoda; Branchiopoda; Diplostraca; Limnadiidae. The record is from RNAcentral.